This 613-nucleotide ribosomal RNA is filed under the name uncultured organism. RNAcentral's name for it is "bacterial SSU rRNA". It matches the Rfam family "Bacterial small subunit ribosomal RNA", at positions 202 to 832 of the family's 1533-position model. The record is from RNAcentral.
UAAAGCUUUUGCGGUUUGGGAUGGGCCUGCGUCCUAUCAGGUAGUUGGUGAGGUAAGUGCUCACCAAGCCUAUGACGGGUAGCUGGUCUGAGAGGAUGGUCAGCCAGACUGGGACUGCGACACGGCCCAGACUCCUACGGGAGGCAGCAACUAGGAAUUGUGCGCAAUGGACGAAAGUCUGACGCCGCGACAUCGCGUGGAGGAUGAAGGUCUUCGGAUUGUAAACUCCUUUUCUUACCGAACAAGUUCUGAGUGUAGGUAAGGAAUAAGUGCCUGCUAACCACGUGCCAGAAGCAUCGGUAAUACGUGGGGCACGAGCGUUAUCCGGAUUUACUGGGCGUAAAGAGAAGCGUAGGCGGCUCGAUAAGUUUGGUGUUAAAUCUUCCGGCUCAACCGGAAACAAGCACCGAAAACUAUCGAGAUUGAGUCGAGUAGGGAAGAGGGGAAUUCCUGGUGGAGCGGUUAAAUGCGUAGAUAUCAGGAGGAAUACCAAGGGCGAAGGCACCUCUUUGGACUCGUACUGACGCUGAGGCUCGAAAGCGUGGGUAGCAAAACGGAUUAGAUACCCGUGUAGUCCACGCCGUAAACGAUCCCUGUUAGAUGUAUGUUAUGU